AUAAUGUCGAUAUGCUCCAUCCAAUAUCAUACUUCCAACUACUCACAAGCGACCAAUCGUUAGCAAGCUUUGGAUCGUCCUUUGAUAGUUGUUUAAUUAUCUUAGUCAAAACCGAUUCUAGUCCUUUUUCCCUCUAAAUGCGCUAGACAUUUGGAAAAUUUUAGAAUGGUCAAAUAUUAUAGCAUUUGCAAUCGAUCCUAUACCCGAAGCGUAUGGGACACGAUGCAUAAUGUCUUACAUAAAGAUACGAUACUUUAUGAAUCUUUUGCCAUAAUAUUUUAUGUGUCACGUUCUUACCAUUCGAACUAUGAAGAGGGAUACCGUAAUCAUAAUCGAAAUUUAAGANAUGCAUAAUGUCUUACAUAAAGAUUUGAUACUUUAUCAAUCUUCUGCCGUAAUAUUUUAUGUGCUACGUUCUCAAAAUUCGAACUAUGAAGAGGAAUGUCGUAAUCAUAAUCGAAAUUUGAGAACACACUAUGUAUCCUUGACUAAAUUUAUUAACAUUCCACAACCUAAGC
This 518-nucleotide long non-coding RNA is filed under the name Lactuca sativa (garden lettuce). RNAcentral's name for it is "long non-coding RNA (LSAT_LNC009797)". Lineage: Eukaryota; Viridiplantae; Streptophyta; Magnoliopsida; Asterales; Asteraceae. The record is from RNAcentral.